UUUCGAGAACAAAAGAACACGUUACCUUGUUUUAAGAUUGAAAUGCCUCCCUUUUCUUCUUUGUCUUUUUGUAUGAAGUUUUUAAAGAGAAAAUCGCAAUAUUUCUAUCGAGUCCAAAAAGCGCAUUCUAGGGUCUUUUGAAAUUGGCCCAAGGCCUUUUUGAGCAUCAAUCGCCUAUUUAAUAAUGGUUAUCAAGGCCCAUUGUCACGGAGUUAUAUCUUUAACUCGUGUGCGGGCUUAAAUCACCGUCUAAGUCUUUCUUGGCUGAAUCUUGGUCAUUCUAGUGUCCCCAAGUUGCUGGAAAAAACGGGAUGUUCCGAAGUCUUACGAGUGGCUCCUGAAGCGACUAGAUGGCCCCGGAAAGUUCUAGAAUGCUAAAAUUUUAUGCUGAAUUUUAGUGGCGUGACACCAUGCUAGUGAUGGUACAAUACCGUUUGGACUAUGAAAAUGUGAUAUGCAUAAAACAUGAGUUGCUAUGUUUCAUGUUCAACCCAACUUUGAAUCAGAUGUAUUGCAUUGAAUUGAAGUUCUUUUUGAUAUAUUGUAAUCAUGUUGUGGUUUUCAAGAAUAUAAGCUUGUACAAAUAAAGAUUAGGUUAGAGUGAAAUCAUGAUGAUCAUUCUUUCUUAAUGUGAAAUCAAGUAUUGGUCCU
RNAcentral lists this long non-coding RNA (651 nucleotides) under Helianthus annuus (common sunflower). The record is from RNAcentral. Lineage: Eukaryota; Viridiplantae; Streptophyta; Magnoliopsida; Asterales; Asteraceae.